RNAcentral lists this ribosomal RNA (467 nucleotides) under uncultured bacterium. RNAcentral's name for it is "partial 16S ribosomal RNA". It matches the Rfam family "Bacterial small subunit ribosomal RNA", at positions 339 to 795 of the family's 1533-position model. The record is from RNAcentral.
CUACGGGGCGCUCCAGUGGGGAAUAUUGGACAAUGGGGGAAACCCUGAUCCAGCAAUGCCGCGUGUGUGAAGAAGGCCUGCGGGUUGUGAAGCACUUUCGGUUGGGGGGACUGCUUCUAGCACUAAUAUUGUUGGAAGUUGACGUUACCUUCAGAAGAAGCACCGGCUAACGUCCGUGCCAGCAGCCGCGGUAAUACGGGAGGGUGCAAGCGUUAAUCGGAAUUACUGGGGGUAAAGCGCGCGUAGGCGGCUAGAUCAGUCGGGUGUGAAAGCCCCGGGCUUAACCUGGGAACUGCAUCCGAUACUGUCUAGCUUGAGUACAGGAGAGGAGAGUGGAAUUCCACAUGUAGCGGUGAAAUGCGUAGAUAUGUGGAGGAACACCAAUGGCGAAGGCAGCUCUCUGGCCUGAUACUGACGCUGAGGUGCGAAAGCGUGGGGAGCAAACAGGAUUAGAUACCCCCGUAGUC